This 377-nucleotide long non-coding RNA is filed under the name Homo sapiens (human). RNAcentral describes it as "HSALNT0292135". Lineage: Eukaryota; Metazoa; Chordata; Mammalia; Primates; Hominidae. The record is from RNAcentral.
ACAUGUGCCUGACUUCCUGCUGGUCUGGGAGACCCCGAGGGAUCCCCAGCCCCGGCCCGGACCCCCAUCACUCACUGCAUCAAUGUUGCCUUUAAUGACUUCAAUCCUCCCUGCAAAGAACAGGAAGAUGGCACCCUGCAAUGACACACAUCAGGGGCCAGGCACGGAGUAGGCACUCAAGGGACCAAAGGGAAGAGACACAGCCAGAAAGCCAGAGGAAUAUGAUUCCAGGAGACUGAGGUCCUGAGGGCAUGGAAAUCAGCCUGCAACAGCAGUCUACUAGGUUCUGGCCUCGGAGGAAAAGAUGCUGACGGCCUGGCCCAGGUGGGCAGCUGCAGGCGUGAGAGGGAUCAUGCAAGGCUCUGGGCCUGACUGCC